AGCUCCAAUAGCGUAUAUUAAAGUUGCUGCAGUUAAAAAGCUCGUAGUUGCAUUUCCGAGGCAAGGGAUUAGUCCGACCUUUGGUGGGUAUUUAAUCCUCUUGCCUCGUCCUUGAGUGGUGCUUCUUGGUAUUAAGUUAUCGAGGAGAUAGCCGCUCAUCGUUUACUGUGAGAAAAUUAGAGUGUUCAAAGCAGGCUUAUGCCGUUGAAUAUAUUAGCAUGGAAUAAUAAGAUAGGACCUCGGUACUAUUUUGUUGUUUUGAGACCCAAGGUAAUGAUGAAUAGGGACAGUUGGGGGUAUUCGUAUUCAGUUGUCAGAGGUGAAAUUCUUAGAUUUACGGAAGACGAACUACUGCGAAAGCAUUUACCAAGGAUGUUUUCA
Molecule: ribosomal RNA, 381 nt
Filed under: uncultured marine Chaetocerotaceae
Lineage: Eukaryota; Bacillariophyta; Thalassiosirophyceae; Chaetocerotales; Chaetocerotaceae
Description: SSU rRNA
Rfam family: Eukaryotic small subunit ribosomal RNA
Source: RNAcentral